This 851-nucleotide ribosomal RNA is filed under the name uncultured Planctomycetota bacterium. RNAcentral's name for it is "bacterial SSU rRNA". It matches the Rfam family "Bacterial small subunit ribosomal RNA", at positions 509 to 1353 of the family's 1533-position model. The record is from RNAcentral. Lineage: Bacteria; Pseudomonadati; Planctomycetota.
CAGCAGCCGCGGUAAUACAGAGGGCUCGAGCGUUAAUCGGAAUCACUGGGCUUAAAGCGUGCGUAGGCGGACUCAUAAGUAUCAUGUGAAAUCCCACGGCUCAACCGUGGAACUGCAUGGUAAACUGCGAGUCUUGAGGUCGGUAGAGGUUGUCGGAACUCUAGGUGGAGCGGUGAAAUGCGUAGAUAUCUAGAGGAACGCCUAUGGUGAAGACAGGCAACUGGGCCGAUCCUGACGCUGAGGCACGAAAGCGUGGGUAGCGAACGGGAUUAGAUACCCCGGUAGUCCACGCCGUAAACGAUGUGUACUAGAUUGUGGAGGUUCUGACACCAUCACAGUCGAAGCAAAAGCAAUAAGUACACCGCCUGGGGAGUACGGUCGCAAGAUUAAAACUCAAAGGAAUUGACGGGGGCUCACACAAGCGGUGGAGCAUGUGGCUUAAUUCGAAGCAACGCGAAGAACCUUAUCCUGGGUUUGACAUGUAUGGAUUAGCUUCCUGAAAGGGAAGUGACGAGUUUACUUGGAACAUACACAGGUGCUGCAUGGCUGUCGUCAGCUCGUGCUGUGAAGUGUCGGGUUAAGUCCCUUAACGAGCGAAACCCCUGCCGUUAGUUGCCAGCGAGUAAUGUCGGGGACUCUAGCGGGACUGCCGGUGUCAAACCGGAGGAAGGUGGGGAUGACGUCAAGUCCUCAUGGCCUUUAUGCCCAGGGCUGCACACGUGCUACAAUGGCAAGUACAAAGCGAAGCGAUAUCGUAAGGUGGAGCAAAUCGCAAAAAGCUUGCCCCAGUUCGGAUUGUGGUCUGCAACUCGACCACAUGAAGGUGGAAUCGCUAGUAAUCGCGUAUCAGC